ACCGACGAGCUAAUACCGGAUAAUAUAUUGAACCGCAUGGUUCAAUAGUGAAAGACGGUUUUGCUGUCACUUAUAGAUGGAUCCGCGCCGCAUUAGCUAGUUGGUAAGGUAACGGCUUACCAAGGCAACGAUGCGUAGCCGACCUGAGAGGGUGAUCGGCCACACUGGAACUGAGACACGGUCCAG
RNAcentral lists this ribosomal RNA (186 nucleotides) under uncultured Staphylococcus sp. RNAcentral's name for it is "partial 16S ribosomal RNA". It matches the Rfam family "Bacterial small subunit ribosomal RNA", at positions 154 to 334 of the family's 1533-position model. Lineage: Bacteria; Bacillati; Bacillota; Bacilli; Caryophanales; Staphylococcaceae. The record is from RNAcentral.